GACGAACGCUGGCGGCGUGCUUAACACAUGCAAGUCGAGCGGUAAGGCCCUUUCGGGGGUACACGAGCGGCGAACGGGUGAGUAACACGUGGGUGACCUGCCCUCAGCUCUGGGAUAAGCCCGGGAAACUGGGUCUAAUACCGGAUAUGACUCCAUGACGCAUGUUGUGGGGUGGAAAGCCUUGUGCGGCUGAGGAUGGGCCCGCGGCCUAUCAGCUUGUUGGUGGGGUGANGGCCUACCAAGGCGACGACGGGUAGCCGGCCUGAGAGGGCGACCGGCCACACUGGGACUGAGACACGGCCCAGACUCC
This 310-nucleotide ribosomal RNA is filed under the name uncultured bacterium. RNAcentral's name for it is "bacterial SSU rRNA". It matches the Rfam family "Bacterial small subunit ribosomal RNA", at positions 28 to 339 of the family's 1533-position model. The record is from RNAcentral.